CGAGCGAAUGGAUUAAGAGCUUGCUCUUAUGAAGUUAGCGGCGGACGGGUGAGUAACACGUGGGUAACCUACCCAUAAGACUGGGAUAACUCCGGGAAACCGGGGCUAAUACCGGAUAAUAUUUUGAACUGCAUAGUUCGAAAUUGAAAGGCGGCUUCGGCUGUCACUUAUGGAUGGACCCGCGUCGCAUUAGCUAGUUGGUGAGGUAACGGCUCACCAAGGCGACGAUGCGUAGCCGACCUGAGAGGGUGAUCGGCCACACUGGGACUGAGACACGGCCCAGACUCCUACGGGAGGCAGCAGUAGGGAAUCUUCCGCAAUGGACGAAAGUCUGACGGAGCAACGCCGCGUGAGUGAUGAAGGCUUUCGGGUCUAAAACUCUGUUGUUAGGGAAGAACAAGUGCUAGUUGAAUAAGCUGGCACCUUGACGGUACCUAACCAGAAAGCCACGGCUAACUACGUGCCAGCAGCCGCGGUAAUACGUAGGUGGCAAGCGUUAUCCGGAAUUAUUGGGCGUAAAGCGCGCGCAGGUGGUUUCUUAAGUCUGAUGUGAAAGCCCACGGCUCAACCGUGGAGGGUCAUUGGAAACUGGGAGACUUGAGUGCAUAGGAGGAAAGUGGAAUUCCAUGUGUAGCGGUGAAAUGCGUAGAGAUAUGGAGGAACACCAGUGGCGAAGGCGACUUUCUGGUCUGCGACUGACACUGAGGCGCGAACGCGUGGGGAGCAUACAGGAUUAGAUACGCUGGUAGUCCACGCCGUCAACGAUGAAGUGCUGAUUGUCAGAAGGUUUCCGCUCUUUAGUGCUGAUUUCACGCAGUAACACUCCGCCGGCGAUACGUCGCAGAGCUAAACUCAAUGAUUGACGGGA
Molecule: ribosomal RNA, 868 nt
Filed under: uncultured Bacillota bacterium
Lineage: Bacteria; Bacillati; Bacillota
Description: bacterial SSU rRNA
Rfam family: Bacterial small subunit ribosomal RNA
Source: RNAcentral